RNAcentral lists this ribosomal RNA (268 nucleotides) under uncultured Gammaproteobacteria bacterium. RNAcentral's name for it is "partial 16S small subunit ribosomal RNA". It matches the Rfam family "Bacterial small subunit ribosomal RNA", at positions 1106 to 1373 of the family's 1533-position model. The record is from RNAcentral. Lineage: Bacteria; Pseudomonadati; Pseudomonadota; Gammaproteobacteria.
UAUCCUUGGUUGCUAACAGGUUAAGCUGAGAACUCCAGGGAGACUGCCGGUGACAAACCGGAGGAAGGUGGGGACGACGUCAAGUCAUCAUGGCCCUUAUGGGAUGGGCUACACACGUGUUACAAUGGCCAGUACAGAGGGUUGCAAACUUGCGAGAGUAAGCUAAUCCCAGAAAGCUGGUCGUAGUCCGGAUUGGAGUCUGCAACUCGACUCCAUGAAGUUGGAAUCGCUAGUAAUCGUGGAUCAGAAUGCCACGGUGAAUACGUUC